UGCUUAUCUUACCUGCCGUUUAGUGGGGGAUAAAAUACCGCAUAUUCUGGUUUCGACCAGGAAAGGACUUCGGUUCGCUAAAUGAUGGGGAUAAGGCGUAUUAGUUUGUUGGUGGGGUAAAGGCCUACCAAGACCAAGAUGCGUAGCCAAACUGAGAGGUUGAAUGGCCACAGGGAAACUGAGACACGGUUCCCACUCCUACGGGAGGCAGCAGUGAGGAAUAUUCCGCAAUGGGCGAAAGCCUGACGGAGCGAUGCUACGUGAAGGAUGAAGGUCUACGGAUUGUAAACUUCUUUACUUGGAUGUACUCCUUAAAACUUGCAUCCGAGCAAAAAGUCACGACUAACUAUGUGCCAGCAGUCGCGGUAAGACAUAGGUGGCGAACGUUAUCCGGAAUUAUUGGGCGUAAAGGAUGCGUAGAUGGUAGAAUAAGUUAUUGGUUGAUACCAAACUCAAUUUGGUGGAGGCUGGUAAUACUGUUCGGCUAGAGGGCAGGAGAAGUUGAUGGAAUUCUGUGUGGAGCGGUGAAAUGCGUUGAUCUACAGAGGAACACCAAAAAAGGCGAAGGCAGUCAACUAUUCUGUUCCUGACAUUGAGGCAUGAAAGCGUGGGGAGCAAACCGGAUUAGAUACCCGGGUAGUCCACGCCCUAAACGAUGAGCAUUAGAUAUUGGGCAUUUUGCUUAGUGUCCCAGCUAACGCUUUAAAUGCUCCGCCUGAGUACUACGGUCGCAAGGCUAAAACUCAAAGGAAUUGACGGGGACCCGCACAAGCGGUGGAGCAUGUGGUUUAAUUCGAUACGACGCGCAGAACCUUACCAAGGUUUGACAUGGAGGGCAAAGUUGAAGAAACUCAACGGAGGUUAUCCCGACACAGGUGGUGCAUGGUCGUCGUCAGUUCGUGCUGUGAAGCGUACGCUUAAGUGCUAGAACGAACGCAACCCUCAUAUUUAGUUGCUAUCAUUUAGUUGAGAACUCUAAAUAGACUGCUAAGAUAACUUAGAGGAAGGAGAGGAUCACGUUUGGUCAUC
Molecule: ribosomal RNA, 1029 nt
Filed under: Candidatus Moeniiplasma glomeromycotorum
Lineage: Bacteria; Bacillati; Mycoplasmatota; Mollicutes; Mycoplasmatales; Mycoplasmataceae
Description: bacterial SSU rRNA
Rfam family: Bacterial small subunit ribosomal RNA
Source: RNAcentral